RNAcentral lists this ribosomal RNA (281 nucleotides) under uncultured bacterium. RNAcentral describes it as "partial 16S ribosomal RNA". It matches the Rfam family "Archaeal small subunit ribosomal RNA", at positions 589 to 869 of the family's 1478-position model. The record is from RNAcentral.
AGACUUGGAACCGGGAGAGGUCAGAGGUACUCCAGGGGUAGGGGCUAAAUCCUGUAAUCCUUGGGGGACCACCAGUGGCGAAGGCGUCUGACUAGAACGGAUUCGACGGUAAGGGACGAAACCCUGGGGCGCAAACCGGAUUAGAUACCCGGGUAGUCCAGGGCGUAAACGCUGCAGGCUUGGUGUUGGGGACUCUACGAGAGUGCCCAGUGCCGGAGUGAAGAUGUUAAGCCUGCCGCUUGGGGAGUACGUCCGCAAGGAUGAAACUUAAAGGAAUUGGC